GGGUCUAAGGAGCUCCUAAUUUGUGGCCUAUUGUCUUCUCCUAUUCGGCUCGUUGAGGGUGUAACGGUGGGGUCGUGAAGAGACGAGGAGGGGGAGGGAGCGCCGGAGCGGAGGGGAGCGGCCUCGUAGUGGGCUUCUUGAACGGUUUUACCGCCAGCGGCGGUGUCGGUACCGCUACCGGUGGUGGAGGUGACGGCGGGUGCAACAAGGGCGUGACAAGAGGAAGGAAGUUGUCGCGGAGGCAGAGACGGGGUUUCGGGCAUAGAGGUGGAGGGCGGCGGAGGACGAGGGACAGAGGUACAAGAGGUGGGCCCUGCCAAGCCGGAGGAUGGUACUUCUCCUACUCCUUCCCCUCCGCCUCCUAAGACGCCUUCGGCGGAAGCCCCUGCUCCUGCUGCUCUUCGGCGUCGGCCUCCGCCACAGGAGAUGCCUCAAAGUCAAGCGCCGUGGUGGCCUCCCUAUGUAACUCGGCCGCGGUAAGCUGCUCAACGGCGGCCUUAGUGGUCUCCUGCACCGUCGUCGGAUGCUCAGCGAGAUGCCCGGCCGGAAGUCGCCGCUCAGCAACUACCCCUUGUUGCACAAGCUCCACUUUCACCACCUGGGGCAGCUGUACCUGGCCCUGGUCGCGGGGUUGCUGCUCAAGUCGCUCGCACAGCACGUCCAGUCGGCUCAGUGGUUCCAGCAGUUCCCACCCUCCGUUGAGAGGAUGGCGCGGGAUCAGCACCAGCCGCUGUACUUCCCCGUGCAACCACAACCGCAGCCGUUCCGGUUUCUUCAGAGUCUCCGGUAGUGGUUCCGACCGUACUUGCCGGCGGCGUUAGAGCAAUGUCACGGUGAUUGGUUCAUGACGUGGAAGGGCGUGUCUCGACUCCGCUUGAUACCUCGUCGUUUCCAGUACGACUCCGGACGAACGGGACCUAGACCACAGUGACGUCCACCUCGACACUCCCAACACGACCUCUACCGACCUCAACUUUUACGAGAACCCUUCGUCGACGCUUCGUUCUUAGGGGAGUUGUUACGUUCCCGAUGGCAGUUCCGCUGUGUCUACUACUCUGUCAAGAGUCUGCAACGACGUCUCGCACCUGAAGGUUACCUCCUCAAUACCUUUACUAUUUUGCUUUAGUAAGUUGACGGACUGUCUUAAGAAAAGAAAAAAGAGAUGACAUAAAGAACUCAAGCAAAAGACAACAUAGAUAUAUAACCCUAUUUAUCCCCACGUUUACCCCCAUGGGAAACCCCCAUGAGAUACACUGAAGACUUUUAAAUCAAGUGAACGAACUUGAUUCCACCCAGUCUGAAACGUAUGCAUACCUGUUAACAAGCAGUUCAAAAGAAGGAAUUAGAGGAGACCGUAACAUCUUUUAAUUCAACCAGAGGGUUAUGUACAUCGUUUAGAUCUUUUAACAAGAAAAAAGACCAAUGACUCAAACAAUGUCUAACUAUUUCGUACUUGUUCUUAUACUUGACCCGUAGCACUACGAUAGGGGCGAGACGUGACGGUCUUCUUCGUGUGUUAUAAAAAACCGAUAAUAAUAAUGUAGCGGAGGACU
This 1553-nucleotide ribosomal RNA is filed under the name Triticum aestivum (bread wheat). RNAcentral's name for it is "partial small subunit ribosomal RNA". The record is from RNAcentral. Lineage: Eukaryota; Viridiplantae; Streptophyta; Magnoliopsida; Poales; Poaceae.